RNAcentral lists this ribosomal RNA (641 nucleotides) under uncultured bacterium. RNAcentral's name for it is "bacterial SSU rRNA". It matches the Rfam family "Bacterial small subunit ribosomal RNA", at positions 8 to 648 of the family's 1533-position model. The record is from RNAcentral.
AGAGUUUGAUCCUGGCUCAGGAUGAACGCUGGCGGCGUGCCUAACACAUGCAAGUCGAACGGGCGCGGCGUGCGGCAGGGGCCUCGGCCCCUGCGGCGUCGCGCGAGUGGCGGACGGGUGAGUAACGCGUGGGCAACCUGCCCUGUACUGGGGGAUAACACCUGGAAACAGGUGCUAAUACCGCAUAAGCGCGCUGUGCCGCAUGGCGCGGCGCGGAAAACCCCGGUGGUACAGGAUGGGCCCGCGUCUGAUUAGCUGGUUGGCAGGGUAACGGCCUACCAAGGCGACGAUCAGUAGCCGGCCUGAGAGGGUGGACGGCCACACUGGGACUGAGACACGGCCCAGACUCCUACGGGAGGCAGCAGUGGGGGAUAUUGCACAAUGGGGGGAACCCUGAUGCAGCGACGCCGCGUGGGUGAAGGAGCGUUUCGGCGCGUAAAGCCCUAUCGGCAGGGAAGAAGAUGACGGUACCUGACCAAGAAGCCCCGGCUAACUACGUGCCAGCAGCCGCGGUAAUACGUAGGGGGCAAGCGUUAUCCGGAUUUACUGGGUGUAAAGGGGGCGCAGACGGCAAUGCAAGCCAGGAGUGAAAGCCCGGGGCCCAACCCCGGGACUGCUCUUGGAACUGCAUGGCUGGAGUA